Molecule: RNA transcript, 6648 nt
Organism: Benincasa hispida (wax gourd)
Lineage: Eukaryota; Viridiplantae; Streptophyta; Magnoliopsida; Cucurbitales; Cucurbitaceae
Gene name: indole-3-acetaldehyde oxidase-like
Source: RefSeq, a predicted model, not a curated record
ACUCUGCCAUUUCAAUUUUCAACUAAACUUAUCCAAAGUCUUUGUUUUGGUUAAUGGGCCAUUCUCUGAUCUCCUCUCUCUCUCUCCCUCUCUCUCCUUUUCCCAAAUAAAAACAAUUCUGAUCUGGAGAAAGUUAAAAAUAAUUAUUAUCUUUCCAAGUUUUCUUUUCUCGGAAUGAAAAUGGAAAGUGAACGCCUUUUACACAAACUCAUUGCAAGAAUUUUGAUGCUUUGUAGUAUUAUUUUAUCAAUCAAUCGGAAAACAAUUUUCAUAUUCCCACAAUUUGGUCUCAAUCACCCAAACAAAGAUAUAUAUUAUAUCCUCUCAGUCUCAUCUCUACUGUCGCUUCACUUCCUUCCCCCAUCAACCACUCCACAAUGGAGAGGCAUCCGGACAAAGCAUCUCCCCUGGUUUUUGCAGUUAAUCAACAGAGAUUUGAGCUCUCCUCUGUAGACCCCUCCACUACUUUGCUCCAAUUCCUCCGCCAACAUACUUCUUUCAAGAGUGUCAAGCUUAGCUGUGGUGAAGGCGGUUGUGGUGCUUGUGUUGUGCUAUUGUCCAAAUACGAUCCUGUGUUAGACAAGGUCGAAGAUUUUACAGUAAGUUCAUGCCUCACGUUGCUUUGUAGCAUACACGGGUGUUCAGUUACAACCAGUGAAGGUAUUGGAAAUAGCAGGGAUGGUUUCCACUCGAUUCAUCAAAGGUUUGCUGGCUUCCAUGCUUCUCAGUGCGGCUUUUGUACUCCAGGAAUGUGUGUCUCACUUUUUUCUGCUCUUGUCAAUGCUGAAAAGACCAAUCGACCCGAGCCCUUAUCAGGAUUCUCAAAGCUGACUGUUUCUGAAGCUGAAAAGGCCAUUUCUGGACACCUCUGCCGUUGUACAGGAUAUAGGUCAAUUGCUGACGCCUGUAAGAGUUUUGCGGCUGAUGUCGAUAUGGAGGAUUUAGGGUUGAACUCAUUCUGGCACAAGCAAGUGAACUUGAGUAAAUUACCACUUUAUACUCCAAGUAAUAGCCUGCUCUCAUUUCCAGAAUUUUUAAAAAAGGAGCUUAGGCCUGUAUCUUUUAUGGACUCUAAGGGAUGCUUCUGGUUAAAUCCGGUUAACAUCAAGGAUGUAAACAGAUUAUUAGAAUGUAAUGAGGCUAGCAACACAAGUAAAACGAAGUUCAUUGUUGGCAACACAGAAGUGGGAUAUUACAAAGAAUUUGAACAAGUUGAGAGAUAUAUUAAUCUUAAACACAUUCCUGAGCUGUCAGUUAUCAGAAUGGAUUCAACAGGAAUAGAGAUUGGUGCAACAGUGACAAUUACAAAAGCUAUUGAGGCUUUGAAAAAUAAUAACCAUAAAUCCUCUUCAAUAGGUGAGGUGGUGUUCUAUAAAAUAGCGGUCCAUAUGGAGAAAAUUGCUUCUGGGUUUGUACGAAAUACUGCAAGCAUCGGAGGAAAUUUAAUGAUGGCGCAAAGAAAACAGUUUCCUUCAGACAUUGCCACAAUACUUCUUGCUGCACGUUCUAUGAUACAUAUAUUGACUGGUUCCAGCGAAGAAGUGAUUAUGCUGGAUGAAUUUCUCAAGAGACCUCCAUUGGGUCCUAACUGUGUACUUUUAAGUGUUAAGAUCCCAAAUUUGGAUUCUCUUAGAGACAAUUAUUCAAGCGAUACUACUAUAUUUUUUGAUACUUUUAGAGCUUCCCCUCGGCCCCUUGGAAAUGCAAUGCCGUACCUAAAUGCUGCUUUCUUAGGUGCAAUCUCUCUGUGUAAAAAUUCCAAUGGUAUCAUAUUGAAUAGCUGUCACCUGGCUUUUGGAGCUUAUGGGACCAAAAAUGCAAUUAGAGCAAGAAAGGUUGAAAAUUUUCUAGCUGGAAAAAUUAUUGAUUAUAGUGUCAUAUAUGAUGCCGUCUCAUUGAUUCAAGCCACUAUAGUCCCUGAAAAGGGCACAUCUUUUCCAGCUUAUAGGACAAGCUUGGCAGUUGGCUUUCUUUUUGAGUUCUUAAGCUCCUUGGCUGAUGGAAAUGCUGCAAUAAAGAAUGAUUACCUAAAUGGAUGCAAGCAUACCUUGUCAACAUUACCUUACAAUGAAUUUAGUUCAAACCACGGUGAUUUCGGUUAUAACAAAGUAGAAACUCUACUAUCAUCUGGAAAGCAGACAAUUGAAUUAAGUUCAGAAUAUCAUCCUGUUGGAGAUGUGAUUACAAAAUCUGGAGCUGCUAUCCAAGCUUCAGGUGAGGCAAUCUUUGUGGAUGAUAUUCCGUCACCAACAAAUUGCGUACAUGGAGCAUUCAUAUAUAGCAGAAAGCCUUUGGCACGGGUGAAGGGACUAAAUCUUUCUCUUGAACCUCAACCAGAGGGAGUUAUCGCUGUUAUUUCCACUAAAGAUAUUCCUGUGGGUGGACAUAAUGUUGGAGCUAGAACUAUAUUUGGUGAUGAACUUCUAUUUGCAGAUAAGUUGACUGAGUGUGUUGGUCAACCAAUUGCUUUUGUGGUAGCAAAUACGCAGAAACAGGCAGAUACAGCUGCAGACUUUGCAGUGGUGGAUUAUGACACAGAUAAUUUGGAAGCACCUAUUCUUUCGGUAGAAAAUGCUCUUGAAAGGUCAAGCUUCUUUGAGGUCCCUUCAUUUCUGUGUCCAGAACAGAUUGGAGAUUCGUCAAAAGGAAUGGCUGAAGCAGAUCAGCAUAUUAAGGCUGCUCAGAUCAAACUUGGGUCACAAUACUAUUUUUAUAUGGAGACACAUACUGCACUUGCCAUUCCAGAUGAAGAUAACUGCAUGGUAGUCUAUAGUUCAAGUCAAUGGCCUGCUAAUGCGCAUUCUGUUAUUGCAAAAUGCCUUGGUGUUCCUGAACACAAUGUUCGUGUAAUUACUAGGAGGGUUGGAGGAGGCUUUGGUGGAAAGGCCAUAAAAUCUAUGGUUGUUGCUACGGCAUGUGCACUUGCAGCUCACAAGUUACGCCGUCCAGUCAGGAUUUAUCUUAACCGGAAGACUGACAUGAUAAUGGCAGGAGGGAGACAUCCAAUGAAAGUUACUUACAAUGUGGGGUUUAAAUCUAAUGGUAAAAUUACAGCAUUGGAAUUAGAUAUAUUGGUUGAUGCAGGGAUGAGUUGUGAUAUAAGUCCAGCGAUGCCACUCAACAUUAUCAAUACACUUAGGAAGUAUGAUUGGGGUGCUUUAUCUUUUGACAUAAAAGUAUGCAAAACAAACCACACAAGCAAAUCUUCAAUGCGAGCCCCUGGAGAGGUACAAGGAUCCUUUAUUGCUGAGGCAGUAAUUGAACAUGUAGCAUCUACCCUUUGCAUGGAUGUGGAUACUGUCCGAAAAGUAAAUAUGCAUACAUUUGACAGCCUCAACUUAUUCUUCAAGGAUGCAGGUGAACCUCAAGAGUACACAUUACCUUCAAUAUGGGAUAGGUUAGCCACAUCUUCAAACUUAAAACAAAGGACUGAAAUGGUAGAUAAAUUUAAUAGCUAUAAUAGAUGGAAAAAGAGAGGCCUUUCUCGAAUUCCUGUCACGCAUGAGGUUACUUUGAGACCAACCCCAGGUAAAGUGAGCAUCCUAACUGAUGCUUCUGUUGUCGUGGAAGUUGGAGGUAUUGAACUUGGCCAGGGGCUAUGGACAAAGGUAAGACAGAUGGCUGCGUAUGCCCUUAGCUCAAUUGAAUGUGAAGGAACCAGUGACCUCUUGGAAAAGGUGAGAGUGGUUCAAGCUGAUACCAUCAAUUUAAUACAAGGAGGGUGUACAGCUGGGAGUACUACUUCCGAAUCAAGCUGUGAAGCAGUAAGACUUUGCUGCAAUAUAUUGGUGGAGAGACUAACGCCUCUAAAAAAAAGGCUGGAGGAGAAGAUGGGUUCAAUCAAAUGGGAUGUGCUCAUAAGUCAGGCAAACUUGCAAGCAGUGAAUUUAUCAGUUAACUCUAUGUAUGUUCCUGACUUUGUUUCAAUGAGAUACUUAAAUUAUGGAGCUGCUGUGAGUGAGGUGGAGGUUGAUCUUCUCACAGGAGAAACUACGAUUUUGCGGUCAGAUAUUAUCUAUGAUUGUGGGCAGAGUCUCAACCCUGCAGUGGAUUUGGGACAGGUUGAAGGAGCCUUUGUUCAAGGAAUUGGAUUUUUUAUGUCAGAAGAAUACCUAACAGAUCUUGAUGGACUAGUGAUUACUGACAGCACAUGGACUUACAAAAUUCCUACAAUUGAUACCAUACCGAAACAGUUCAACGUUGAAAUAUUGAACUCUGGACAUCAUAAAAAACGUAUUCUCUCUUCAAAAGCUUCAGGAGAACCGCCAUUGCUUCUAGCUGCAUCAGUUCACUGUGCAACACGAGCGGCUAUUAAAGAGGCACGAAAACAAAUAUGUACAUGGCGGCAUCAACAUGAGUUUGAUCACUCGUUUCAAUUAGAGGUUCCCGCUACCAUGCCUGUUGUUAAAGAGUUGUGUGGGCUGGAUUGUGUGGAAAGUUUCCUGAAAUGGAUCAAUGAAUCGAGAAGCACUAGGAUCUGACGACUUGGCCUCCCGAAACACAGGUAAGCAAAAGAUAUGAUGGACCUUGAGUCAAUGCGUAUGGCUUAUCUCAUUGAUGCACCACAUACGUAAGAUUCUCUUUCAAUGUUUGAGAUAGAACUAGAAGAUUGUUUCUGGCUGCUUAACUUUCUGUUCUUUUGGUAAGAAUUGACUACUACAUUUUUUUAACCAAAAGAAGAAGCACGUUUAGUUGGAUAAAUUUAGGAUUCAAAAGAGAGGAAGAUAAGAGUUGAAUUCCAGGUGCUAGAUAACCAAGGUUAUAAAAUGUGUCUCCAGUUGUACAAGCUCAAAUUAAGUACCGGUUCGUCCAAAUCUGCUUUUUUGAAAUUAACUAAGGGCUUGUUUGGAUUGAACAUAGAAAAAAAAAUGUUUUUCAAAAAUUCAUUUUCAUUUAAACACUUUCGGUAAAAAUUGUUUAAAAUAAAAACACUCAUUUGUUUGGCAACUUUUUCUCAAAAUUGUUUUUAUAUUUAAGCUUGGUUUGAUUUGUUAUAUACUACAAGUAUUUUUAGUAAUGUCAAAUUACUAUAAAGGACGACUAUAUAAUUUAAAAUAGUGGUUGUCGGGGUUGGUCAUCUGGGAUGAUGGUUGCCGGAGGUGGUCGUCAUUGGUAAUGGUUGGAGUUGGGUGGCGUUGGUGGUGGCUGGUGUUGGGUGGUGGAGGCGGUGACCAGAGUUGGCUGGCGGGAGGCAGUGGUAGCUACGGAACAUAGUGCAUAGUGGAAGUGAGAUAGAUGACUUUUGGGAUGUUUUAAUAAAGGAUCGUAUAAUAAAUAUUGUUUAUUGCUGUGAGACAUAAUAAAAGCUGUUCAUUAUCUUAUUGCCACUGCGUUUAGAAUUAGAAAAACAACAUGAAUUUUACUUGGUUCCUUUCUUUUGAAUGCUCUAAAAUUUAAGUUUAAUUUGGUAGAAAUCGUAUAGUAUUCUUUGUGGAAAAUGAUAAUUUACUUAUGAGCUGGAUUAUGUACACUUUGCACAUUAAUUUGCACAAAUAUAUAUUACGUGUUGAGCUUCAUUUGUUGCUUCUAGACAAUGUUUAGCCACAACACUUGCUAUCCAUCGACUGUAAAAUGUUAUGCAAUACCAUUGUGGGAAAUAGGAGAAACUUUCUGCCACAUUAGUGAAGGAGUGUCUUGGAAGAGAAUGCCCAGGAGGCGCAAGAUAUCAGCACUCUAAUUUCAGAGGAGGGAGAGACGGCAACCAUCAUUUCCUCUCAUGAUUUUUUUUUUUUUUUGUGCACUUAGUUCCCUGUUUUGAUGCCUCAAGGUCUCCUGAAUUCGGUUCCUAAUGGCCUCAGCAUUCCCCUACGACCUGGCAAGGUCAUACUUGCUUGUCUUGAACUGCUUCUAAGAGUGAAGACUAUCCCACAAACCAACAUCAUCUUUUUAAUAUGCUUUGUCCUCACUCACAUGCUUUCUAGAAAGAUUCCCAGGAGGUCACCCAACAUAGAAUUGCUCUAAGCUAAGCACACUUGACUUUGAAAUUCUUAUGAAUGGGUCACCGGAAAGAAAGAUGCACCUUGUUGGUAUAGGUAAUAACUUUCAAUUCUUUUAAGCCUUUAUUAACAUACUUUCGUAUCUUCAGGAUCCUUCUCAUUCGGAUGUGAUCUCGGUUCAUUCAUGUACCUCUCCUAAAUUCAGGGUUGGAGCUUUCUGCUGAAUGAAGUUGGAGUAUUCAUUUGUUGGAUGGAUUCUAGAGGCUCUGAAUGGGUGGCCCUUCAAAGGAAAAGCAAAGCUCUUUCUUCUUUGGGGUAUUUGAAAGGGAAUGAAUCAAAGAAUGCUUUCUUUGCUUUCUUUUAUAACUAUGUACAACUCAUGUUCCCUUUGUUAGUACUUGCCGUAAAGAAGAGAUUUGACAGAGACAUGAAGGAAUGACACUUAUUUUAUAUGAAGUCACCUAAGUUUGGAGAGUUUGGGGCAUCAGUUUGAUUAGGGGAAUAUCUCAAAUACAACUCCAAUACUUGUAACGAAAUGAAUUAGAAUUUGAGGUGGAGUGGUUUCUAUGACGCUUGAAAUGUUUGUUAUACUUUAUUAGAACCAUGGUGCAGUUAUGAUCUCUUAGUGAUGAUGUGACGUUGGCCAUUUCACCAAGGACUGGUUCUUGUCUUGUAAUGGUGUAGUAAUGUUUUACUAUAAGGUUGGAUCCAA